This is a long non-coding RNA of Rosa rugosa (rugosa rose), 748 nucleotides long. RefSeq lists it as uncharacterized. NCBI's taxonomy places the organism in Eukaryota, Viridiplantae, Streptophyta, Magnoliopsida, Rosales, Rosaceae. The record is from RefSeq and is a predicted model, not a curated record. The transcript is spliced from 2 exons.
CCUAUAAAACUGGCCACAUACUGCAUUGCAUAGCACAAUUAACCAAAUGAGUGAAAAUGGUGAUCAAGGAUCCGAAGGACUCAAAAGUCGUAGACAAAGUGGAAGUUGUUGUUAGCAAUUGCAGAGACUUAUUGCAGAGACUUGUUAUCCAAGUUCAAUCAUCGAAUCAAUGAUUUACCAAAUCUAAAGGUCCCUACGGUCCAUCCUUCUCCUCUUCCUGCAAUUGCUGUUAGAACCUAGGAGUGCAAGGGUCCAGUCACCUCACCACCACAAGCUUGUCAACCUUGAUGAUGAUGAAGAGCCCUUCCACUUGAUAUGGGGAAGAGCAGCAAUGCUUGCGCUUCGGUGGGGAACAGGACCUUUCUCUGCAGAGGAACCGUCUCUACAGUCGCUUCGGUGGGGAAGAGGACCCGUCUCUGCGGAGGAACCGUCUCUGCAGUAGUGAGACAAUUAGGGUCACCAAAAAUAAGCUAUUGAACAAAAUAGAAUCCCAAGUUCUGGAUCACUCGGCCAAGCCUUGUCAUACAUGCAAACUACAUGAAAUACAGCCUACUCUCUUGCUUGCUUGGAUAUGAUUUGGAGAGUUUGUUUCACGUGCCACGAUUGUCUCACUUUAAAAUUUUUGUUGAACUGGCUGUAAAUUGUUUACAUGUGCAAUAUUUUACAAGGAACCAAACGCUAAUCAGUUGAAUUAUAGUUUGUAAAUCUAAUCGAGAUAUUUUUGAGAAUUAUAUGACGCGUUUCUUUA